This is a long non-coding RNA of Dendrobium catenatum, 409 nucleotides long. RefSeq lists it as uncharacterized. NCBI's taxonomy places the organism in Eukaryota, Viridiplantae, Streptophyta, Magnoliopsida, Asparagales, Orchidaceae. The transcript has 3 exons. The record is from RefSeq and is a predicted model, not a curated record.
UGGCUUUUUAGAAGAUUGUUUUCUUAUAUUUUUUCUAUUUUGAAUUAAACUUUUUUUUUGCAGUUUCUUUGGUUGGUGGACCACUACACACCCAUUUUUUUGUUGAUAUUGCUAAAUUGCAGACUAAGCAUAUAUUGAUUUUGCUGAGAUAUACAAUAAUUCUUCAUUGGACAAGAGACGAUGGUUCAACCUAUCAAGACUUGGCAUGGCCCUUGUCACUACUCUGCCGCUAGGUUAAAUGUUCAGAAAGUUUACCAGUGCAGAAUUUGUUGGCUUUGCCAACUGCUCCACUGUACAAUCACUCGUUAAUACUAAGAGGUCAUUGUUCUACCAUGAAAAGGCUGCAGGGAUGUACUCAAUAUUGCCAUAUCCCCUUUAUCAGGUAUUUGCUUAUCUUUGUUAGCAUUCA